CCACCUGUGGCGAAGGCGGUCUACCAGAACACGUUCGACCGGUGAGGGAUGAAAGCUGGGGGAGCAAACCGGANUAGAUACCCGGGUAGUCCCAGCUGUAAACCGAUGGCAGACUCGAUGAUGCAUNGGCAUAAUAGCCAGUGCAGUGUCGCAGGGAAGCCGUUAAGUCUGCCGCCUGGGAAGUACGUACGCAAGUAUGAAACUUAAAGGAAUUGGCGGGGGAGCACCACAAGGGGUGAAGCCUGCGGUUCAAUUGGAGUCAACGCCAGAAAUCUUACCCGGAGAGACAGCAGAAUGAAGGUCAAGCUGAAGACUUUACCAGACAAGCUGAGAGGUGGUGCAUGGCCGUCGCCAGCUCGUGCCGUGAGAUGUCCUGUUAAGUCAGGUAACGAGCGAGAUCCCUGCCACUAGUUGCUAUCAUUAUUCUCAGGAAUAGUGGGGCGAAUUAGUGGGACUGCCGUUGUUAAAACGGAGGAAGGAAGGGGCUACGGCAGGUCAGUAUGCCCCGAAACUCUGGGGCCACACGCGGGCUGCAAUGGUAGUGGCAAUGAGUUCCAAACUCGAAAGAGAGUGGCAAUCUCUAAACGCUACCACAGUUAUGACUGAGGGCUGUAACUCGCCCUCACGAAUAUGGAAUCCCUAGUAACCGCGUGUCAUUACCGCGCGGUGAAUACGUCCCUGCUCC
This 685-nucleotide ribosomal RNA is filed under the name uncultured bacterium. Its description in RNAcentral is "bacterial SSU rRNA". It matches the Rfam family "Archaeal small subunit ribosomal RNA", at positions 657 to 1336 of the family's 1478-position model. The record is from RNAcentral.